Molecule: ribosomal RNA, 2923 nt
Filed under: Klebsiella quasipneumoniae subsp. similipneumoniae
Lineage: Bacteria; Pseudomonadati; Pseudomonadota; Gammaproteobacteria; Enterobacterales; Enterobacteriaceae
Also listed under: 1 other name
Description: bacterial LSU rRNA
Rfam family: Bacterial large subunit ribosomal RNA
Source: RNAcentral
GGGUUGUGAGGUUAAGCGACUAAGCGUACACGGUGGAUGCCCUGGCAGUCAGAGGCGAUGAAGGACGUGCUAAUCUGCGAAAAGCGUCGGUAAGGUGAUAUGAACCGUUAUAACCGGCGAUGUCCGAAUGGGGAAACCCAGUGCAAUUCGUUGCACUAUCGUUAACUGAAUACAUAGGUUAACGAGGCGAACCGGGGGAACUGAAACAUCUAAGUACCCCGAGGAAAAGAAAUCAACCGAGAUUCCCCCAGUAGCGGCGAGCGAACGGGGAGCAGCCCAGAGUCUGAAUCAGCUUGUGUGUUAGUGGAACGGUCUGGAAAGUCCGACGGUACAGGGUGAUAGUCCCGUACACCAAAAUGCACAGGCUGUGAACUCGAAGAGUAGGGCGGGACACGUGGUAUCCUGUCUGAAUAUGGGGGGACCAUCCUCCAAGGCUAAAUACUCCUGACUGACCGAUAGUGAACCAGUACCGUGAGGGAAAGGCGAAAAGAACCCCGGCGAGGGGAGUGAAAAAGAACCUGAAACCGUGUACGUACAAGCAGUGGGAGCACCUUCGGGUGUGACUGCGUACCUUUUGUAUAAUGGGUCAGCGACUUAUAUUCUGUAGCAAGGUUAACCGUAUAGGGGAGCCGCAGGGAAACCGAGUCUUAACUGGGCGUUAAGUUGCAGGGUAUAGACCCGAAACCCGGUGAUCUAGCCAUGGGCAGGUUGAAGGUUGGGUAACACUAACUGGAGGACCGAACCGACUAAUGUUGAAAAAUUAGCGGAUGACUUGUGGCUGGGGGUGAAAGGCCAAUCAAACCGGGAGAUAGCUGGUUCUCCCCGAAAGCUAUUUAGGUAGCGCCUCGUGAACUCAUCUUCGGGGGUAGAGCACUGUUUCGGCUAGGGGGUCAUCCCGACUUACCAACCCGAUGCAAACUACGAAUACCGAAGAAUGUUAUCACGGGAGACACACGGCGGGUGCUAACGUCCGUCGUGAAGAGGGAAACAACCCAGACCGCCAGCUAAGGUCCCAAAGUCAUGGUUAAGUGGGAAACGAUGUGGGAAGGCACAGACAGCCAGGAUGUUGGCUUAGAAGCAGCCAUCAUUUAAAGAAAGCGUAAUAGCUCACUGGUCGAGUCGGCCUGCGCGGAAGAUGUAACGGGGCUAAACCAUGCACCGAAGCUGCGGCAGCGACACGAUGUGUUGUUGGGUAGGGGAGCGUUCUGUAAGCCUGCGAAGGUGACCUGUGAGGGUUGCUGGAGGUAUCAGAAGUGCGAAUGCUGACAUAAGUAACGAUAAAGCGGGUGAAAAGCCCGCUCGCCGGAAGACCAAGGGUUCCUGUCCAACGUUAAUCGGGGCAGGGUGAGUCGACCCCUAAGGCGAGGCCGAAAGGCGUAGUCGAUGGGAAACAGGUUAAUAUUCCUGUACUUGGUGUUACUGCGAAGGGGGGACGGAGAAGGCUAUGUUAGCCGGGCGACGGUUGUCCCGGUUUAAGCAUGUAGGCUGAUUAUCCAGGCAAAUCCGGAUAAUCAAGGCUGAGGUGUGAUGACGAGGCACUACGGUGCUGAAGUAACAAAUGCCCUGCUUCCAGGAAAAGCCUCUAAGCAUCAGGUAACAUCAAAUCGUACCCCAAACCGACACAGGUGGUCAGGUAGAGAAUACCAAGGCGCUUGAGAGAACUCGGGUGAAGGAACUAGGCAAAAUGGUGCCGUAACUUCGGGAGAAGGCACGCUGGUGUGUAGGUGAAGUCCCUGCGGAUGGAGCUGAGACCAGUCGAAGAUACCAGCUGGCUGCAACUGUUUAUUAAAAACACAGCACUGUGCAAACACGAAAGUGGACGUAUACGGUGUGACGCCUGCCCGGUGCCGGAAGGUUAAUUGAUGGGGUUAUCCGUAAGGAGAAGCUCUUGAUCGAAGCCCCGGUAAACGGCGGCCGUAACUAUAACGGUCCUAAGGUAGCGAAAUUCCUUGUCGGGUAAGUUCCGACCUGCACGAAUGGCGUAAUGAUGGCCAGGCUGUCUCCACCCGAGACUCAGUGAAAUUGAACUCGCUGUGAAGAUGCAGUGUACCCGCGGCAAGACGGAAAGACCCCGUGAACCUUUACUAUAGCUUGACACUGAACAUUGAGCCUUGAUGUGUAGGAUAGGUGGGAGGCUUUGAAGCGUGGACGCCAGUCUGCGUGGAGCCAACCUUGAAAUACCACCCUUUAAUGUUUGAUGUUCUAACGUUGGCCCCUUAUCGGGGUUGCGGACAGUGUCUGGUGGGUAGUUUGACUGGGGCGGUCUCCUCCCAAAGCGUAACGGAGGAGCACGAAGGUUAGCUAAUCCUGGUCGGACAUCAGGAGGUUAGUGCAAUGGCAUAAGCUAGCUUGACUGCGAGCGUGACGGCGCGAGCAGGUGCGAAAGCAGGUCAUAGUGAUCCGGUGGUUCUGAAUGGAAGGGCCAUCGCUCAACGGAUAAAAGGUACUCCGGGGAUAACAGGCUGAUACCGCCCAAGAGUUCAUAUCGACGGCGGUGUUUGGCACCUCGAUGUCGGCUCAUCACAUCCUGGGGCUGAAGUAGGUCCCAAGGGUAUGGCUGUUCGCCAUUUAAAGUGGUACGCGAGCUGGGUUUAGAACGUCGUGAGACAGUUCGGUCCCUAUCUGCCGUGGGCGCUGGAGAAUUGAGGGGGGCUGCUCCUAGUACGAGAGGACCGGAGUGGACGCAUCACUGGUGUUCGGGUUGUCAUGCCAAUGGCACUGCCCGGUAGCUAAAUGCGGAAGAGAUAAGUGCUGAAAGCAUCUAAGCACGAAACUUGCCCCGAGAUGAGUUCUCCCUGAGACUUUAAGUCUCCUGAAGGAACGUUGAAGACGACGACGUUGAUAGGCCGGGUGUGUAAGCGCAGCGAUGCGUUGAGCUAACCGGUACUAAUGAACCGUGAGGCUUAACCUUACAACGCCGAAG